RNAcentral lists this ribosomal RNA (201 nucleotides) under uncultured bacterium. RNAcentral's name for it is "partial 16S ribosomal RNA". It matches the Rfam family "Bacterial small subunit ribosomal RNA", at positions 131 to 334 of the family's 1533-position model. The record is from RNAcentral.
CGAUGGAGGGGGAUAACUACUGGAAACGGUAGCUAAUACCGCAUAACGUCGCAAGACCAAAGAGGGGGACCUUCGGGCCUCUUGCCAUCGGAUGUGCCCAGAUGGGAUUAGCUAGUAGGUGGGGUAACGGCUCACCUAGGCGACGAUCCCUAGCUGGUCUGAGAGGAUGAUCAGCCACACUGGGACUGAGACACGGCCCAG